CUAACACAUGCAAGUCGAGGGGUAACAGAGAGAGCUUGCUCUUUGCUGACGACCGGCGCACGGGUGCGUAACGCGUAUACAAUCUGCCUAUCACUGAGGGAUAGCCCGAAGAAAUUUGGAUUAAUACCUCAUAGUAUUAUAGAAUCGCAUGGUUUUAUAAUUAAAGGUUACGGUGAUAGAUGAGUAUGCGUCCUAUUAGCUAGAUGGAGAGGUAAAGGCUCCCCAUGGCUACNAUAGGUAGGGGUCCUNAGAGGGAGAUCCCCCACACUNNUACUNAUACACCGACCACACUCCUACU
RNAcentral lists this ribosomal RNA (298 nucleotides) under Flavobacteria bacterium BBFL7. Its description in RNAcentral is "partial 16S ribosomal RNA". It matches the Rfam family "Bacterial small subunit ribosomal RNA", at positions 48 to 343 of the family's 1533-position model. Lineage: Bacteria; Pseudomonadati; Bacteroidota; Flavobacteriia. The record is from RNAcentral.